CGUCAAAGCUAAUUUUAAACCCAUAAAAUAACCCCUCUACCUCCAUAGAACCCCUCAACAGUACUGAACGAUUUUAUAUCCCUAUAAAACCCUUUAUGUUAGAACUAGUAACAAGAAGUCACCUUCUCUUCCUAUACAAAUGUAAAUCAGAACAGAAAAUCUACUGAUCCUUAACAGCUUAAAAUCAAAGUAAAAAAUUUUCUAGAAAACUCUACUUCACCAUCUGUUAACCUUACACAAGAGUAUAAAAAGAAAGAUUUAAAGAAAAAGAAGGAACUCGGCAAACCCUGAUUCCGCCUGUUUACCAAAAACAUCGCCUCCUGCUAACCUAUAGGAGGUCCAGCCUGCCCGGUGACCUAGUUUAACGGCCGCGGUAUCCUAACCGUGCGAAGGUAGCGUAAUCACCUGUUUUUUAAUUGAAGACCUGUAUGAAUGGCAUCACGAGAAUCAAUCUGUCUCCCCUUUCUGAUCAGUGAAACUAAUCUCCCCGUGAAAAAGCGGGGAUAAAACCACAAGACGAGAAGACCCUUUGGAGCUUAAGACAAAGUAACAUCCUGCUCAACCAUAAAAUCCUACCCCAAUUAGCACCUACUUACUAGUCUUUGGUUGGGGCAACCGCGGGGCAGAAAAAAACCCCCAAGAUGAAUUAGAACUUUCCUAAACAAAAAGCCACAACUUUAAGUAUCAAUAAAUUGACAUUAUGACCCAAUAUUUUUGAUUAUCGAACCAAGUUACCCUAGGGAUAACAGCGCAAUCCGCUUCGAGAGUUCAUAUCGACAAGCGGGCUUACGACCUCG
RNAcentral lists this ribosomal RNA (797 nucleotides) under Eleutherodactylus melacara. Its description in RNAcentral is "partial 16S ribosomal RNA". It matches the Rfam family "Bacterial large subunit ribosomal RNA", at positions 1478 to 2528 of the family's 2925-position model. Lineage: Eukaryota; Metazoa; Chordata; Amphibia; Anura; Eleutherodactylidae. The record is from RNAcentral.